Molecule: long non-coding RNA, 1360 nt
Organism: Cucurbita maxima (winter squash)
Lineage: Eukaryota; Viridiplantae; Streptophyta; Magnoliopsida; Cucurbitales; Cucurbitaceae
Exons: 2
Source: RefSeq, a predicted model, not a curated record
UUUUACAUUUUGGGUAUUCUGCUCCCGGAUUUGGCUAUAAUUGGAGAGCUACACUCAACCAACCUAGCUCAAACCAAUUCCUGCACGUUCUUAACAAAAUUUCCAACAAGUUUCCUGAAGGCCGCAAAGGAUGAAAGUGGCUGGAAACCAUUCCCUCAAUUCGAGUUCUUGGAAGGCAUAUUCAGGAGAAAUUUUGAAAAUCAAUUUGUGCCAUACACACAAAUUUGAGCCAUAUUCAGGGGAAGUUUUUAGCCAAUUUGGGGAGUAUCCAAAAUUCUCCCUCUACACUCAAUGUUUAUUAUUCAAACCAAUUCUGAUAGCUUCAUGGUGACUUUGUGAGAAGAAGACCCAAGAACCUGAGGGGAUUGACCAUCAAAUUGGAGAGAAUGAGCAAAAUUCGUUCCCUAAGGUUUAUUCUAACAUAUUGAGAGGAAGAAAGAGAAGAAUCUUGCUGAAGGAAGCGAAGGCCAAUGAGCUCUGGAACCACUUGAACCAAGGAAGGGUAGCCACGAGUUUGCUCUAGCGACGAGGCUGGUUUCCAAAGGUCAUUCAUUCCACGGCCUGUAACUUUGUCCACGGUGAACUAAAUUUCACGAGACCAGUCCCUACCUCUUCAUUGACAUACCCUGUACAAGUUUGUAGAAGAAAUAUGGGAGAGACAUCCACUGUACGAGUUAGAAGAAGGUUGACACCCUACAAAGUCCUAUACAAGAAAGUCAGUGAAAUUUGAGUAUUUGGACUGCAAGAACUGAAGUCCCAAACACAACCAAGCAAGUAGCCACUUUCAUCUUUCCUCGAGAAAUACUGGUAAGAAUUGUUUGGUAUUGUCUCAUAACCUUGAGUUAACUUAGAAAUAAGUAAAAAAUGAAAGAUUAGGCCAAGUAUGUAUCCAAAGUUUGAUGGACAAAGGAGAAUGUUUAGGGCAUAAACUAACGAUAAGGAUAAGUUGACCAAAAUGCCCCUACUAUGUCCUUAUAAUGCUUCACGGUCUAAACGAACUCCAAAUGGUUUGAAAUUUUAUAUGACACCUAUUUAUAAGGUUAUGAAUGAUUAUGCAUGGUUUUAAAGCUAUUGGAGCAUAAUUAGUAGCAUAUUUAUGAGCAUGUUUAGGACAUAAACCAAGAUUAGGGUGGAAAGUGACAGAAACGCCCCAUUGAACACCUUAUGGAAUUUUAUGUUUUUCAUGAGCCCCAAUUAGCAUGAAACUUUGCAUACCACUUACUUAAAGAAACCAUGAAUGUAACAGCCCAAGCCCAAGCCCAAGCCCACCAUUAGCAUAUAUUAUUAUCUUUGGGCUAUCCCUUUCAGGUUUCCCUCAGUUUUUAAAACAAAUCUUCUAGGGAGAGGUUUCCACACCCUU